GUUCCAACGGUGAAGCGAGGACGGAGAACGAACGAAACAUUACUGGCGCAGCCGACAGGAUCGGCAAGCCCCACAACGAGCAACGAGCAGCGAGCCAGGCGCAAGAAAUCAGAGGGCCACCAGCGAAUUCCGCAAGGGUUGCAAUUCAUCUGGACAAGGACGUCAGGCGGCGCCCCCAGCAGCAACGGCUUCAAGUUCCAACGGUGAAGCGAGGACGGAGAACGAACGAAACAUUACUGGCGCAGCCGACAGGAUCGGCAAGCCCCACAACGAGCAACGAGCAGCGAGCCAGGCGCAAGAAAUCAGAGGGCCACCAGCGAAUUCCGCAAGGGUUGCAAUUCAUCUGGACAAGGACGUCAGGCGGCGCCCCCAGCAGCAACGGGACAGACCUUCCCAUACAGAUCGGGCAUGGAUUCCAAGUCGGCGCGCCGUAGCACGCAAGCGUACUACGAACAGCGAUCGGGACUCCUCCUCCGAUGCUCUUACCACCCUUGCUGUCACGGUAGCUGCUGUAGGCGUUAUAGUUAGGGAGAAAAUAAUCCGAUGAGGAUAUAUCGGAAGAAAUACACGUCUCUGUCAAAACUAAUAUAGAAGCUGAUGAAAAUAAAUUGCAACGAAAUUCAUUAGCUUUUG
Dermacentor albipictus is the source of this 633-nucleotide long non-coding RNA. RefSeq lists it as uncharacterized. NCBI's taxonomy places the organism in Eukaryota, Metazoa, Arthropoda, Arachnida, Ixodida, Ixodidae. The record is from RefSeq and is a predicted model, not a curated record.